Lutra lutra (Eurasian river otter) is the source of this 560-nucleotide long non-coding RNA. RefSeq lists it as uncharacterized. The transcript has 2 exons. NCBI's taxonomy places the organism in Eukaryota, Metazoa, Chordata, Mammalia, Carnivora, Mustelidae. The record is from RefSeq and is a predicted model, not a curated record.
UUGGUCAGCAAUGUCUGCAGCCAUGUUGGCCUUGGGUAGGUUCCUUGGAUGCUGUAAAACUCCUCGUGUUUUCAUGUGACUGUUCCAAGGAGUCCUUGAAUCGUUUCUUAAAAUUCCUAGGCCUUCAUUUCCAUUUUCUUAGGACAUAGAAGGGAGAGGGGAAGGAAGAGUUAAUUUUUUACAAAAAUGUUUGAAUGAACUGGUAUUUAUAUAUGUGAAAGCAGGCAUGGAAAUCCCCCUCUCCGAAUACCAGAUCUAAUCCUAGAGGGUUCAGUAAAAGUUGAUUUCUGCAACUGUAGCAGACUUCAUUUUCUGCCGCCCUGAAAUAAAUAUAUCAGUAAGCUUGUCUCUCCAGCCACGUACCUACCCACCGGCAUUGUGGUAUCACCACGUGACUCUCUGAAACCUGAAGCUUGAAAGAGGUGCAGGGACUCACGGGGCAAGCAGGGAAAUUCACGGCAGACGAUGUGAAAGGAGCUCUUUUGUGACCAUGAGGCAAUAUCCAUGAGGGCAAAAGGCCAAGGGGUGGAGCUAAGGAAGCUGUAGAAAGGCAGAUGGAA